This 348-nucleotide long non-coding RNA is filed under the name Panax ginseng (ginseng). RNAcentral's name for it is "long non-coding RNA (PGIN_LNC012653)". The record is from RNAcentral. Lineage: Eukaryota; Viridiplantae; Streptophyta; Magnoliopsida; Apiales; Araliaceae.
GUACCUUCAUCUAUACCUCUAUUUUUAAUUUAGUAAUGCAAGUAUUAUCAAUCUUGCACUACCUCCCUUAAUAGUACAUGCAUGUGAAACAAUAGUACAUACCUGUGAACAAAUAGUUAUAAGCAUGUGAAUUAAUAGCAAUUAAUUGCUCAUUUAUCCGAUUAAUUAUUCGAUUGGUCAAUAUAACCUUCAGACAUCAAUUAUUAUCGAAAUAAAUGUCGAUUUCCACUAACACUAAUAAUUUCAACACAAUUAAAAUAUCAAUUUCAUCUUUAACCAACACGAACUUAUUCAUCAUUAAUAUUAUAACUCAUAAUAUUUAACAACCAGAUUAUUUCCAAUAAAGAG